Zingiber officinale is the source of this 305-nucleotide long non-coding RNA. RefSeq lists it as uncharacterized. Lineage: Eukaryota; Viridiplantae; Streptophyta; Magnoliopsida; Zingiberales; Zingiberaceae. The record is from RefSeq and is a predicted model, not a curated record. The transcript has 3 exons.
AACCGAAAACCCUUUUCCUCUCCUUUCCUCUCCCGAUCGCGAGCGACGGCGUCGGCUUCUCUCGGGCAGAAAUGAAGAAGAGGGCUAAGGGCUUCACCUCUAUCUCCUCCUCCCGUGCGCCUUCUCCUCUCGAGCGACAGUGAAGAAGAAGCCCGUGAGCACGGACACGAAGGGAAGAGGCCGAGAUUGUGAGCUCCUCCGAAACCCUAGAGCUACCUUUCUCCUUCGGUAGUAAGCUCAAGAACAGCAAGAUACAGGAAAGGAAAAGAUAUAGAAAGGCGGCAAGGAGGUGUUCGAGGGAUGUG